GCACGUGUGGCCGAGCGGUUGAAGGCACUGGGCUGCAAACCCAGCGACUCUGUCCUCGCGAGUUCGAAUCUCGCCACGUGCUCCA
Molecule: transfer RNA, 85 nt
Filed under: Burkholderia multivorans
Lineage: Bacteria; Pseudomonadati; Pseudomonadota; Betaproteobacteria; Burkholderiales; Burkholderiaceae
Description: tRNA-Cys
Rfam family: tRNA
About the family: Transfer RNA (tRNA) molecules are approximately 80 nucleotides in length. Their secondary structure includes four short double-helical elements and three loops (D, anti-codon, and T loops).
Source: RNAcentral